Molecule: RNA transcript, 3807 nt
Organism: Bacillus rossius redtenbacheri
Lineage: Eukaryota; Metazoa; Arthropoda; Insecta; Phasmatodea; Bacillidae
Gene: MESK2
Gene name: protein NDRG3
Exons: 11
Source: RefSeq, a predicted model, not a curated record
CGAGUGAAGCUGUAGUCUUUUGUUUUAUGUGUUUUAUUUUAACGUGAAGGGUAAAACUUCACUUCGGUUAGGGUGGAUUCUAGUUUUAACAUCGAAGUGACGUAUAUCUGUUGUCAAGGAGAUACAUUAAAAGUAACGAAGUAGUGAUCUGUGCGUGUUGUAGGCGGGCAAGUUUUUAAGUUUUGUAUUAUUUGUACGUUUACCUUUAUUUUCGUGAUAACUCCAGUCAAGAGACAACUAAUCGCGGUGAAGAUGCCGUCUGGCGUAGGCGCAUCGUACAGGUCUCUCGCAGACGAUGUGUACAAGAGCACGACGAUCGAGGAGAACAAGUUUAGCAUGUUAGAGUCGGUGAAGAAAGUGUUUAGCUUCGCGAACCCCGGCACACCCACGACGACCACGUCGAGGUCCGAGCCCCUGGUCCCCGCCACGCACCGGCCCCGGUCCCAGCCCCAGCCUCAGGUGGUCUCCAGGGACAAAAAGAUGCCCGCCUCCACUUCAGCAGAAGAGACUGCGCUGUUGGGCACGAUGCCCUCCGACAGCAUGGACGACAUCGAGCUGAAGAACAUCCAGCUGCAGUUCCCGCAGGCGCGCACGCUCGCCCGCGGCGACAGCAGCGCCCUGGAGGAGCGCGUGGAGACGGCGCGCGGCAGCGUGCUGGUGGCUGUGCAGGGCAACCGCAACCGCCCCGCCAUCCUCACCUACCACGACCUGGGCCUCAACUAUGUGUCCAGCUUCCAGGCGUUCUUCAACUACAUCGACAUGCGCGCGCUGCUGGACAACUUCUGCGUGUACCACGUGAACGCCCCGGGCCAGGAGGAAGGCGCCACCACGCUGCCUGAAGACUUUGUGUAUCCCACAAUGGACGAACUCGCUGAACAGAUCAACUUUGUCAUGUCACAUUACGCACUCAGGAGCAUCAUUGGAUUUGGAGUAGGAGUUGGUGCGAAUGUUCUCGCCAGAUUCUCUCUGGCCCACCCAGACAAGGUUGAAGCACUUUGCCUGGUUAAUUGUGUGUCUACCCAAGCUGGCUGGAUUGAGUGGGGCUACCAGAAGCUGAAUUCAAGACACCUUAGGUCAAAGGGCAUGACACAGGGAGUGUUAGACUACCUAAUGUGGCAUCAUUUUGGAAGGGGAACAGAGGAGAGGAACCACGACUUGGUACAGGUGUACAAGAACUACUUUGAGCGGCACGUGAACCCCACCAACCUGGCGCUGUUCAUCGACAGUUACGUGCGCAGGACGGACCUGAACAUCUCGCGGGACGUGGACCCGACCCGCUCCAACAGCCACACCCUCAACAUGCCCGUCAUGAAUGUCACGGGGGCGCUGAGCCCGCACGUCGACGACACUGUCACCCUGAACGGCCGGCUGGACCCCACCAACUCCACCUGGAUGAAGAUCCAGGACUGUGGAAUGGUUUUGGAAGAGCAGCCAGGCAAAGUUAGUGAGGCUUUCAGGUUGUUCCUACAGGGCCAGGGCUACGCUGUGAAAGUUAACCGGAAAGUUAACCGCAAGCAAUUGGCACCUGCAUCAGCUGAAGGUAAUUUUUAUUAGAAAACAGAACUGAACUGUGUGUGACCCUUACCCGGCAAGAUUGAGUUGCUAAAUGUUUCUGAGCGACCACCACUUGGCUUCAAAGAUUAUCUGUCUGUCUAGCGACAAGACACCAAGUUAGAAACACCAACAUGUUUUUUUUUUUUUUCAUGUGGCAUAUGCAAAAUUUUAAUAAGGAAAUAUUGUUUUCAAAACAAAACUGAACUGUCAUAAAUUUUUUAUACUGAUUUGCAUGAAGAUAUUUUAUCUUCAUAAUGCCCACUAAUUAUUUAUUUUUUAAUCAGUAUACAGAUUAUUCAACAAAUGAUGGACAUAAUUUUAAUGAGGGGUAGGAAAUGCCAAACCAAACUAUCUUUGUUGAGAAACAUAUAGUCGCUUAAGAAACACCGCCUAUGUGACAAAAAGCAUAUUUUUCAGGAGAGCUUAUUAACUUCAUGCACCAUGCUGGAACUGAAUGGUUGCUAGCAUUAGAAAAUAGACAGACCAUAGCAACGCAUUCUGUUGGAUUUUCGGCAAAUUCGCUUUGUGAGAAGAUGCAAAAUGCUUAUGUUUCCAUGGAGAAACAAAAAAUUGAAUUUUAAAAAAAGUAACUUAGGCGAUGUUGUUUAUUAAGCAACAAUAUGUUCUGAAAUACAAUCCUGCAGAGUUAUAAAUGUAAAUAGUAGUACGCAAAUUUCAAUUUUGCGCUUGUUUGGCGACUUUAUACUAGCUGAGAAGACAUGUCAUCACAGCAAUGUGAUGGCGCAGGUUUUGAAGUUUAGCUACAUGCACUAGCAUUCAGUAGUCUGGUGUGCAGCACAGUGGAUAUUUAGUCUAUAUAUAUGUAUUUUGGUGAUUAGCGCAGGUUGACAGUUUAGUGAGUGUGGUACUGUGAUCACAGUAUUUACAAACAAUAACAGAAUGGCAGACUUUAAAUUUACAGAGAUGUCCGCUAGGCACAUGUUGAAAAGAGAGGUGAGAGGAAUUGCAGAAAGAGCAGCGCUCAUUUAUCGAGGACGCAUUCCCAACUGGCGUGUACCAAAUAGGAAGCCCUUCUAUGACCUAACCAGCAACUGCCUGAAACUGCAUAUGGCUAGCUCUAAACAUCUGUACCCUGGUGGUCGCCUGAAGUAAUGCGCUGCCAUUGGCGUCUUCUCAGCCAGUGAAGUGGUGUCUGAUGCCACCAUACGGUUUGCAUCUGUAACUUUGCAGUGUUGCAUGUCCCUUAACUUAAAAUUAGUUUGUUUUGGCAAUACCUGCCACCCUUUAAACUGUAAUGCUCAGUAAUUUCCGAACACACCAUAUUAUGGAAUUAUUCAAUUAUGCACAGAAGUGUUUAAAUUGUAAAAUAUAAUCUAAAUUGUAAAAUAUAAUCGUAGAGCAUACCCUGGGUUUAGUUAGGCAAACCCUUUAAAUAAGGAGUCCACAGUUCAUGCAUUUAUCUUUUUUUCAUGUCAUCUCAAAUUUGACCAAAAGUAUAACCAAUGGCAACCAGUUAUGUGCAGAGCAUCACAUGAUGCUUGUUUACAAACACUGGCAUCCACAUUAAGAAGUUUGCAAAAGUUGUUGACAUGAAAAUAGUGACAGAAGUACAAUUACGUCUGUAUCACACGAUGGAAGGUUUCAUACAGGAUCUGCUAGAAGUACAUAAAAUUGUGACUGUUGUUGGCGAAUGGUUUUGUUAUGAUAGUUAAUAUUAUUUUUGCAUUGUUUCUCACAAUUGUCACAUAAUACUGUAACUGCUUCAGGAGACCACAUGUUCACCAUGUUUCAAAUCAAAAAUCAAAAAAAUUGUAAUCCCUCUAAAAUAAAUUACCGUUUUUAACACCAGGGGUGCACUACUACUUCAUUCUUAUUGGAUCAAAUUAACCACCUUCUACGAAACCUUCCACAGAAAUUCAAACACGACCAAUUACAAAAAUGUUUCAUGAAAACGGCCAGUGCUCUGCCAAUUCUUCCACAGAACCAUCCUUACCUACCUCCAAGGAAACUUCCUUCGUGUGAGCUUAACCAUUGGGUUUACUUAUAACUGUCAAGUUUAAGACAAGUUACUUACAUGGCACACCCUAUACAUAUCAGUUGCCAGUUGCAUAAAAUUAAAGGUUGUGGGGCACUAAUUUUGGAUGCUUGGGUGACAUCAUUAAGGGGAUGUGCCCUUCCUUCCCUUGCCCUUUACCUUUCCUGAGAGACAGGCACCUAGUUUGACAUGCUCUGAGACGGUAGAUGCUGGUUUAGUCCGUAGAUGCUCUCAUAGAGAAUGUGUGUUGUGGUUGC